GUACUGCUGAAGAGUCCUAAAUUAGGACGGAACAGCUGUCCGGUAC
Molecule: non-coding RNA, 46 nt
Organism: Trichobilharzia regenti
Lineage: Eukaryota; Metazoa; Platyhelminthes; Trematoda; Strigeidida; Schistosomatidae
Source: Rfam